AGGAACAGAAGAGGAGCGUUAACUAGGUAGUCAAUCAGAGGAGCACAAACUCCAGCGAUGAUUGAUGAGGGAGAUUAGCGCCGAGGCAUAGAUGUGGUUGCUGCAUGUUUAUGUCGGUCGCUUAGGCUGAAUCCUAACGAUUGUCACCUGUAAUUGGUGGAGAGCUUCUGGUGAC
Shewanella oneidensis MR-1 is the source of this 175-nucleotide regulatory RNA element. It matches the Rfam family "Lysine riboswitch aptamer". From Rfam's summary of the family: Riboswitches are metabolite binding domains within certain messenger RNAs that serve as precision sensors for their corresponding targets. Allosteric rearrangement of mRNA structure is mediated by ligand binding, and this results in modulation of gene expression. The record is from Rfam. NCBI's taxonomy places the organism in Bacteria, Pseudomonadati, Pseudomonadota, Gammaproteobacteria, Alteromonadales, Shewanellaceae.